AGUCAACCUGCCCUAGAGACAAGAACAACCCCGGGAAACUGGGAUUAAUUCUUGAUAGGUCAUCUCAUCUGGAAGGAGAGAUGGCUUAAAGGGGUACGCGGGCUUCUUCUGCGUAUCCGCUCUAGGAUGGGACUGCGUCCGAUCAGGCUGUUGGCGGGGUAAUGGCCCACCAAACCUGUAACCGGUACGGGCCUUGAGAGAGGUGGCCCGGAGGUGGACACUGAGAGAAGGGUCCAGGUCCUACGGGGCGCAGCAGGCGCGAAACCUUCGCAAUGCGCGAAAGCGUGACGAGGUUAAUCCGAGUGACUUCCGCUGAGGAGGUCUUUUGUCAGCUGUAAAUAGGCAGGCGAAUAAGGGGAGGGCAAGCCUGGUGUCAGCCGCCGCGGUAAUACCAGCUCCUCGAGUGGUCGGGGCGAUUAUUGGGCCUAAAGCAUCCGUAGCCGGUUCCGUAGGUCCUCUGUUAAAUCCAACCGCUUAACGGUUGACCUGCAGAGGAUACCGCGGGACUAGGAGGCGGGAGAGGCGGACGGUACUCCGCGUGUAGGGGUAAAAUCCUUUGAUCCGCGGAAGACCACCAGUGGCGAAGGCGGUCCGCCAGAACGCGCUCGACGGUGAGGGAUGAAAGCUGGGGGAGCGAACCGGAUUAGAUACCCGGGUAGUCCCAGCCGUAAACGAUGCUAGCUAGAUGAUUCAUUCGCAAGUCGCGAAUGAAGUGUCGCAGGGAAGCCGUUAAGCUAGCCGCCUGGGGAGUACGGUCGCAAGACU
Molecule: ribosomal RNA, 765 nt
Filed under: uncultured crenarchaeote
Lineage: Archaea; Thermoproteati; Thermoproteota
Description: bacterial SSU rRNA
Rfam family: Archaeal small subunit ribosomal RNA
Source: RNAcentral